This 82-nucleotide transfer RNA is filed under the name Hyphomonas neptunium ATCC 15444. It matches the Rfam family "tRNA". Rfam says of the family: Transfer RNA (tRNA) molecules are approximately 80 nucleotides in length. Their secondary structure includes four short double-helical elements and three loops (D, anti-codon, and T loops). Lineage: Bacteria; Pseudomonadati; Pseudomonadota; Alphaproteobacteria; Hyphomonadales; Hyphomonadaceae. The record is from Rfam by way of RNAcentral.
GCGGAUGUGGCGGAAUUGGUAGACGCACUGGAUUUAGGUUCCAGCGCCGCAAGGUGUGAAGGUUCGAGUCCUUUCAUCCGCA